UUAGUGUGAAAAUUGACUGUACUCUAGCUAUUUGAAAUCAAUUAUCAAACUACAAAACACCAAGGCUUACUACUUUUGUCUUAAUUCAACACAUAAUCCAUUCUAUGACUAUCAAUUCAACAAUACUUCCAUAUUCUUAUCAGUUCAUCUCCCACUUACUCUCUUUGUGGUUUAUAUAUAUUCAAUUACUGAUCUCAAGCUUACUUAUUAUAUUCUAUUU
This 220-nucleotide long non-coding RNA is filed under the name Physcomitrium patens. Its description in RNAcentral is "long non-coding RNA (PPAT_LNC010919)". The record is from RNAcentral. Lineage: Eukaryota; Viridiplantae; Streptophyta; Bryopsida; Funariales; Funariaceae.